Molecule: long non-coding RNA, 310 nt
Organism: Ruditapes philippinarum (Manila clam)
Lineage: Eukaryota; Metazoa; Mollusca; Bivalvia; Venerida; Veneridae
Exons: 3
Source: RefSeq, a predicted model, not a curated record
AAUAAUUGUAAUCUGAUUUCAGUUUCAAGGAUCUUUUGAAGAGUUUUUCAAGCAGCAGAAGAAAAAGCAGAUCAAUCAACAAUUUGCUCUACCAGAGAGGAAAGCUAAGGUUGACCAACUUGUUAAAACAAUAGAGAACACUGAUAACCCCGAUACUAGAUAUUGUAUAUGUCGAUCCACAGAUGGUACACGCUUUAUGAUAGCAUGUGACAAUUGUGAAGAAUGGUAUCACGGUGACUGUAUAGGUGUGACAGAGAAAGAUGCUCAGUUUAUCAAACAAUAUUACUGCGGUCCAUGUCGUCGUAAGUAC